Molecule: ribosomal RNA, 223 nt
Filed under: uncultured bacterium
Lineage: Bacteria
Description: partial 16S ribosomal RNA
Rfam family: Bacterial small subunit ribosomal RNA
Source: RNAcentral
ACGCUCGACACCUACGGGAUGCAGCAGUAGGGAAUCUUCCACAAUGGACGCAAGUCUGAUGGAGCAACGCCGCGUGAGUGAAGAAGGUUUUCGGAUCGUAAAGCUCUGUUGUUGGUGAAGAAGGAUAGAGGUAGUAACUGGCCUUUAUUUGACGGUAAUCAACCAGAAAGUCACGGCUAACUACGUGCCAACAGCCGCGGUAAUCUGAGCGGGCUGGCAAGGC